Molecule: long non-coding RNA, 1015 nt
Organism: Prionailurus viverrinus (fishing cat)
Lineage: Eukaryota; Metazoa; Chordata; Mammalia; Carnivora; Felidae
Exons: 3
Source: RefSeq, a predicted model, not a curated record
CAUCUGCAAAGGACCACAUGGGGACUGUGUACCACUAAGGCCCUUCCCAGCUGUAAAAUGCUUUAAGCUCCUGUCGGCAUCAGAAACCGGGAUGCCAGUGGUCCACCUGCAAACUCACCCCAAGAAAGACACCUUCCAUGGACGAAGAGGCAAGUCAUAUAUGACCAGCUUCUAUAAAAUCAGAACCUUCUUCCUACACGAAGCAAACAAGCAGAUGAGGCCUGAGCAACAGGCAGCUCACAUCUGGCCACAUGCUGACUGCCUUUCUCCCCCACCCCUUGGUAAUAAGGAGCAGACUAGCAAAAUAGUUCAAAUGCCUUCUUAAAAAGCACACUGCCUUGUAGGCUCAGAGGCCUAUUUUGAGCAAAAUGUUUCAAACCUCUGUGCUCAGAGCCAGUCUAGGCAUCAACAGCUCACUCCAGCUGAACGAUCAGGGAGUCAGUGAAGGACUCUGGUGUAUCCGCUGGAUGCCAGGCCAGCAUCCGGCACUGAGAUACGAGGGGGGACUGGACAUCCCUGUCUCCCAGGCCUGUCUGCUCAGAAUGGGAGCUUGACAGCAAACCCAGCCACCCAGCCCUGCGCAAGAAGGCUUGUACGGAGGAUGCGCAAGGCUAGCGCUGGGGGAAGCCAGAAAAGGAAGUGGACCUCACUCGAAUGUCCAGAAAACUACUCAGAGGAAGGAGCAUGGGAGCUUGAUGCAGACCUGGAAGGACCACUGGCAUUUAAUCCUACAGACCCGCAAGGAAAUACUUGGACGCAGAGUUGCACAGCACCAACAGCAAACCUCAACAGACAGCCCAACCCUGCCUUUCCAGCACAAGGAAGGAAAAGGAAAAGGGCAGGUGGAGCACUGGGGAACCUCCGAAGCAAAAAAAGGAAAGAACAGCAAGAUGGGUAAAGUUGAAGGCAGACGGACUUGGGCUCAAAUUCUACCUCCACCACUGAGUUUACUUGGAUAAACCACCCCGCUUUUCUGGAGGUUUCUCCCCCAUCUGUGAAAUGGGUGUAAAAAUAA